CUACAGUGAUGUUUCAAUUGAACUCUCUCACUGAAAUCUUUUGUGGAAAACAUAACUCAAACUCUGAGUAGC
Trematomus bernacchii (emerald rockcod) is the source of this 72-nucleotide small nucleolar RNA. RefSeq annotates it as small nucleolar RNA SNORD26. Lineage: Eukaryota; Metazoa; Chordata; Actinopteri; Perciformes; Nototheniidae. The record is from RefSeq and is a predicted model, not a curated record. The transcript has a single exon.